RNAcentral lists this transfer RNA (73 nucleotides) under Myotis lucifugus (little brown bat). It matches the Rfam family "tRNA". From Rfam's summary of the family: Transfer RNA (tRNA) molecules are approximately 80 nucleotides in length. The record is from Rfam by way of RNAcentral. Lineage: Eukaryota; Metazoa; Chordata; Mammalia; Chiroptera; Vespertilionidae.
GCCAGUGUGGCUCAGUGGAUAGAGCGUUGGCUUGUGGAUCCAAGGGUCCCGGGUUCGAUUCCAGUCAAGGGCA